RNAcentral lists this ribosomal RNA (358 nucleotides) under Salmonella enterica subsp. enterica serovar Typhimurium. RNAcentral's name for it is "partial 23S ribosomal RNA". It matches the Rfam family "Bacterial large subunit ribosomal RNA", at positions 1154 to 1489 of the family's 2925-position model. The record is from RNAcentral. Lineage: Bacteria; Pseudomonadati; Pseudomonadota; Gammaproteobacteria; Enterobacterales; Enterobacteriaceae.
CGUAUCACCCAAGACAACUUUACGGAGUUGACGAUUGACGGAGCGAAGCGACGUCAAAGCGUUCAUUAAAGUCGAGUUGGCUUAGGGAUACGUUCGUUGGGUAGGGGAGCGUUCUGUAAGCCUGUGAAGGUGUGUCGUGAGGCAUGCUGGAGGUAUCAGAAGUGCGAAUGCUGACAUAAGUAACGAUAAAGCGGGUGAAAAGCCCGCUCGCCGGAAGACCAAGGGUUCCUGUCCAACGUUAAUCGGGGCAGGGUGAGUCGACCCCUAAGGCGAGGCCGAAAGGCGUAGUCGAUGGGAAACGGGUUAAUAUUCCCGUACUUGGUGUUACUGCGAAGGGGGGACGGAGAAGGCUAUGUUG